UACAGAGGGGGCAAGCGUUGUUCGGAAUUACUGGGCGUAAAGGGCGCGUAGGCGGCCUGUUAAGUCGAACGUGAAAUCCCUGGGCUCAACCCAGGAACUGCGUCCGAUACUGGCAGGCUUGAAUUCGGGAGAGGGAUGCGGAAUUCCAGGUGUAGCGGUGAAAUGCGUAGAUAUCAGGAGGAAUACCGAUGGCGAAGGCAGCCCCCUGGGUCGAUACUGACGCUCAUGCACGAAAGCGUGGGGAGCAAACAGG
Molecule: ribosomal RNA, 253 nt
Filed under: uncultured bacterium
Lineage: Bacteria
Description: partial 16S ribosomal RNA
Rfam family: Bacterial small subunit ribosomal RNA
Source: RNAcentral